Long non-coding RNA from Mercenaria mercenaria, 386 nucleotides. RefSeq lists it as uncharacterized. The transcript has 3 exons. The record is from RefSeq and is a predicted model, not a curated record. Lineage: Eukaryota; Metazoa; Mollusca; Bivalvia; Venerida; Veneridae.
AGCUAGUGAGAAGGCAGCCCCUCCAACUUUUACCCCUGGUACACUUGUAGCUGAACCAUAUUCCUGGAAGAGUCUGGUAACCGGUCAACCGAUACUCCGGCUAAGAUCAUCAGCAAUCAGAGCUGCUGUGCUGUGUUUACCAGCUGGACGCCAUGUUUUGAAGUUUAUGAUGUGAGGUCCACUAGGGUAUCAUGUCCAUCUGUGCUCAUCUACACAGUUUGUGUUUGGCGAUGAAGAAACAGUUAUGGCACAGCUUACAAAGGAAAGCUGUAUAUUUGUGGACAAUGCUAGCCAGGUGAUCAGCUGUAUUGGGAAUGUAUCAAUGUGUUUGGAGACCAAGAAGAGUUUGUAAAGGCAUGGAGGGAACUGACACAAGCGCACUGCCC